AAACGUGUAAGAUUCAGUAACUUAUCAAAUAUAAAGCGGCAAAGCCUGUCUGCACACAAAUAGGAGUUCAAUUUAACAAAGGCCUUCAAAGUAAAUCCCACACAACAACAAAUAACGUUAGCCUAUAAGUUAAUGGUCUCCCACAUAAAUAACUGCAAGCUUCUAAACUAUUUAGCUACCCGGUCAUAAAAAUUUGCAUAUUAAAGAAAAAAAAACACAAGCUACUGUGUAAUCGACUCACCUGUUAGAAUGGCUGCGAUCUGGCCUCAGAGGUAGACAUUAGGGAUGUGCAGUAUCGAUAUAUCGAUACUCAGAAGCUUCUAUUGUGGUAUUUUCUGCAAAGUAUCGAUACUUAAUUAUAGUUAUAAUUUCUUUAUAACUAAAUGUUUUAAGCAGUGUGUGCAGGGCAGGCCAAUCGGGAUGGUGUGUAUAUGAUCUAAAAAGAAAAGCAGCAGGGGUUCAGAUAAAAAAUCGGCAGCUGGCAGCAGGAAGUGGCUGCCAUUGACAGCUGGAAGGCAGUAACUGACAGCCGGAUGGUAGGCGGGACCUGCCAUUCGGUGGGAGCCAAUCAGUAUCGACCAAUGUGGGCGCAACCAAUCAGAUAUAACUGCACCCAAACGCUUCAGUAAUGGUUGCGAUUGAUCAAAUGGCAAGUUCAGAAAUUGGUCAUCGGAGUAAUUAAUGUUUUUUUGCGUUUUGCCAGAUGCUGUCCUGUUGGAAAUUCUUCUUUACGUGAUCCUGGAGGAGGGGUGAUGCUACAUUACUAAGUCCCUCUUUGGUUUGUUCCAAAUUCAGAAGUCUGCUGUACUGUAUACAGACUCCUUUCGAAAGAGGGCACAAUCCAGCUGGCUUGACUGAGUAUCUUCUUUUACAUAUUUGAUUAGAGGUUUAAAAAGGUGGAACAAAAU
Long non-coding RNA from Carassius auratus (goldfish), 908 nucleotides. RefSeq lists it as uncharacterized. The record is from RefSeq and is a predicted model, not a curated record. NCBI's taxonomy places the organism in Eukaryota, Metazoa, Chordata, Actinopteri, Cypriniformes, Cyprinidae. The transcript is spliced from 3 exons.